This is a long non-coding RNA of Coregonus clupeaformis (lake whitefish), 365 nucleotides long. RefSeq lists it as uncharacterized. NCBI's taxonomy places the organism in Eukaryota, Metazoa, Chordata, Actinopteri, Salmoniformes, Salmonidae. The record is from RefSeq and is a predicted model, not a curated record. The transcript is spliced from 3 exons.
UGAAAAGCUAAUUAGCUGCUAAUGUGGCUAUCCUAGUAACUUCAAGAGCCAGUGUCUUUGAAAAGACCCUACAACAAGGUACAUAAUGUUUCAAGUGUGAUUAACAAGCCUACUUUCUCAAAGUUCUGUUCCUACCAACUGUAUGGGAUGAACAGGAACAUCUGUUAAGUGUGUACUAUAAAUGUGGUAACGGUUUGACAUCUGUGAUAUUCUCUGACGUUGCAGAUGCAGAGGACUUGAGGCCAUGUGCCACCUCAAGCCAGAGCGACAUUAGUCCAAGUGGCAGCCAGGAAGAAGCUGGCCAAGACAGAGCAUCAGAAUCAGACCAAGAGCUGCCAUCCCUGCUUGAUGAUCCUGUGGCUUCU